RNAcentral lists this ribosomal RNA (484 nucleotides) under uncultured bacterium. RNAcentral's name for it is "partial 16S ribosomal RNA". It matches the Rfam family "Bacterial small subunit ribosomal RNA", at positions 28 to 523 of the family's 1533-position model. The record is from RNAcentral.
GACGAACGCUGGCGGCGUGCUUAACACAUGCAAGUCGAACGAUGAACCCGGAGCUUGCUCCGGUGGAUUAGUGGCGAACGGGUGAGUAACACGUGAGUAACCUGCCCUUGACUCUGGGAUAACUGCGGGAAACUGUAGCUAAUACCGGCUACGACCCUCGGCGGCAUCGCCAGGGGGUGGAAAGAAUUUCGGUGAAGGAUGGACUCGAGGCCUAUCAGCUAGUUGGUGAGGUAACGGCUCACAAAGGCGACCACGGGUAGCCGGCCUGAGAGGGUACCCGGCCACACUGGGACUGCGACACGGCCCAGACUCCUACGGGAGGCAGCAGUGGGGAAUAUUGCACAUUGGGCGCAAGCCUGAUGCAGCAACGCCGCGUGAGGGAUGACGGCCUUCGGGUUGUAGACCUCUUUUAGUAGGGAAGAAGCGAAAGUGACGGUACCUGCAGAAAAAGCACCGGCUAACUACGUGCCAGCCGCCGCCGUAA